AUCUUUGCGCUUGGGGCAAUGACGCAGCUAGUGAGGUAAAAACCGAGGCGCGUCAAUUGCUGGUUGAAAACUAUUUCCAAACCCCUCUUUGGCCUGGGCUCGCCCGGUUUGCCACUGAGAAUUUCUGGAAGGGCCCCUCUAAUCCAGGGUAAGGCC
Molecule: small nuclear RNA, 156 nt
Filed under: Ananas comosus (pineapple)
Lineage: Eukaryota; Viridiplantae; Streptophyta; Magnoliopsida; Poales; Bromeliaceae
Description: U4 spliceosomal RNA
Rfam family: U4 spliceosomal RNA
About the family: U4 small nuclear RNA (U4 snRNA) is a component of the major U2-dependent spliceosome.
Source: Rfam by way of RNAcentral